RNAcentral lists this unclassified non-coding RNA (218 nucleotides) under uncultured Elaphomyces. RNAcentral's name for it is "sequence contains ITS2". Lineage: Eukaryota; Fungi; Ascomycota; Eurotiomycetes; Eurotiales; Elaphomycetaceae. The record is from RNAcentral.
CCGUCCUUCCAGCCUGCCCCGGGGGGGUGCAAUACGGUUGGGUCUUGGGGGAUCGUCCGGGGGAUCGAUCCCGGACGAGCCCCGAAAGCUAGUUGACGGGGCCGGAUCCGGGCCUGGAGCGCAUGGGGUUCUGAGGGCGACAGCGUCCUCCCCGCUUUCCACAGACCGGAUCGGUGCUCCGUCCCCCGUCGAUAGGGGAAAACAACGAUGCCAUCAGG